This 85-nucleotide transfer RNA is filed under the name Polyangiaceae bacterium. Its description in RNAcentral is "tRNA-Leu". It matches the Rfam family "tRNA". From Rfam's summary of the family: Transfer RNA (tRNA) molecules are approximately 80 nucleotides in length. Their secondary structure includes four short double-helical elements and three loops (D, anti-codon, and T loops). Lineage: Bacteria; Pseudomonadati; Myxococcota; Polyangiales; Polyangiaceae. The record is from RNAcentral.
GCCGGAAUGCGUGGAACUGGUAGACAGGCCUGAUUCAAAACCAGGUGCCCUUCGAGGCGUGGGGGUUCGAGUCCCCCUUCCGGCA